UCUCCGUAGGUGAACCUGCGGAGGGAUCAUUACUGAGUGAGGGCUUCGGUCCGACCUCCAACCCUUUGUGAACCAAACUUGUUGCUUCGGGGGCGACGCUGCCGCUUCGGCGGUGCGGCGCCCCCGGAGGCCAUUAAACACUGCAUCAUUGUGUCGGAGUUACGGUAAAUUAAACAAAACUUUCAACAACGGAUCUCUUGGUUCCAGCAUCGAUGAAGAACGCAGC
RNAcentral lists this unclassified non-coding RNA (226 nucleotides) under uncultured fungus. RNAcentral's name for it is "sequence contains ITS1, 5.8S rRNA gene". The stretch from base 178 to 226 matches the Rfam family "5.8S ribosomal RNA", at positions 1 to 49 of the family's 154-position model. Lineage: Eukaryota; Fungi. The record is from RNAcentral.